ACCCGCUGAACUUAAGCAUAUCAAUAAGCGGAGGAAAAGAAACCAACAGGGAUUGCCCUAGUAACGGCGAGUGAAGCGGCAACAGCUCAAAUUUGAAAUCUGGCGUCUUUGGCGUCCGAGUUGUAAUUUGCAGAGGGCGCUUUGGCAUUGGCAGCGGUCCAAGUUCCUUGGAACAGGACGUCACAGAGGGUGAGAAUCCCGUACGUGGUCGCUAGCCUUUACCGUGUAAAGCCCCUUCGACGAGUCGAGUUGUUUGGGAAUGCAGCUCUAAAUGGGAGGUAAAUUUCUUCUAAAGCUAAAUACUGGCCAGAGACCGAUAGCGCACAAGUAGAGUGAUCGAAAGAUGAAAAGCACUUUGGAAAGAGAGUUAAAAAGCACGUGAAAUUGUUGAAAGGGAAGCGCUUGCAGCCAGACUUGCCUGUAGUUGCUCAUCCGGGUUUCUACCCGGUGCACUCUUCUAUAGGCAGGCCAGCAUCAGUUUGGGCGGUUGGAUAAAGGUCUCUGUCAUGUACCUCUCUUCGGGGAGAACUUAUAGGGGAGACGACAUGCAACCAGCCUGGGCUGAGGUCCGCGCAUCUGCUAGGAUGCUGGCGUAAUGGCUGU
RNAcentral lists this ribosomal RNA (603 nucleotides) under uncultured fungus. RNAcentral's name for it is "eukaryotic LSU rRNA". It matches the Rfam family "Eukaryotic large subunit ribosomal RNA", at positions 23 to 641 of the family's 3401-position model. Lineage: Eukaryota; Fungi. The record is from RNAcentral.